This 921-nucleotide ribosomal RNA is filed under the name uncultured archaeon. Its description in RNAcentral is "bacterial SSU rRNA". It matches the Rfam family "Archaeal small subunit ribosomal RNA", at positions 1 to 903 of the family's 1478-position model. The record is from RNAcentral.
UUCCGGUUGAUCCUGCCGGACCCCACUGCUAUCGAGGUGGGACUAAGCCAUGCUAGUUGAGCGCACAGAACUAUGUCUGUGAGCGGCACACUGCUCAGUAACACGUAGCUAACCUACCCUUAGGACGUGGACAACCCCGAGAAAUUGGGGCUAAUCCGCGAUAGAUGUAUUGUCCUGGAAUGGUAUUACGUCUAAAGGUAUCCCAUACAUGUUUGGUAUACGCCUAAGGAUGGGGCUGCGGCCGAUCAGGCUGUUGGUGAGGUAAUGGCUCACCAAACCUUUGACCGGUACGGGCCAUGAGAGUGGUAGCCCGGAGAUGGACACUGAGACAAGGGUCCAGGCCCUACGGGGCGCAGCAGGCGCGAAACCUCCUCAAUGCACUUACGUGCGAAGGGGCUACCUCGAGUGCCACCUGAUGAAGGUGGCUUUUCCUAGGUCUAAAUAGCCUUGGGAAUAAGAGGGGGGCAAGACUGGUGUCAGCCGCCGCGGUAACACCAGCCCCUCGAGUGGUGGGGAUGAUUAUUGGGCCUAAAGCGUCCGUAGCCUGCCGUAAAAGUUUCUCGUUAAAUCCAGCGUCUCAAGCGUUGGACCGCGGGAAAUACUGCACGGCUAGAGAGUGGGAGAGGUCAGCGGUAUUCUGGGGGUAGGGGCGAAAUCCUUUGAUCCCCGGAGGACCACCAGUGGCGAAGGCUGCUGACUAGAACACGUCUGACGGUCAGGGACGAAAGCUGGGGUAGCGAACCGGAUUAGAUACCCGGGUAGUCCCAGCCGUAAACGAUGCAUGCUAGGUGUUGGGUUGGCCACGAGCCACCCCAGUGCCGCAGGGAAGCCGUUAAGCAUGCCGCCUGGGAAGUACGAUCGCAAGGUUGAAACUUAAAGGAAUUGGCGGGGGAGCACCACCAGGCGUGAAGCCUGCGGGUU